Molecule: ribosomal RNA, 439 nt
Filed under: uncultured bacterium
Lineage: Bacteria
Description: partial 16S ribosomal RNA
Rfam family: Bacterial small subunit ribosomal RNA
Source: RNAcentral
CCUACGGGUGGCAGCAGUGGGGAAUAUUGCACAAUGGGCGAAAGCCUGAUGCAGCAACGCCGCGUGAGCGAUGAAGGCCUUCGGGUCGUAAAGCUCUGUCCUCAAGGAAGAUAAUGACGGUACUUGAGGAGGAAUCCCCGUCUAACUACGUGCCAGCAGCCGCGGUAAUACGUAGGGGUCUAGCGUUAUCCGGAAUUACUGGGGGAAAGGGGUGCGUAGGUGGUUGCUUAAGUCAGAGGUGAAGGGCUACGGCGCAACCGUAGUAAGCCUUUGAAACUGGGGAACUUGAGUGCAGGAGAGGAGAGUGGAAUUCGUGGUGUAGCGGUGAAAUGCGUAGAUAUUAGGAGGAACACCAGUUGCGAAGGCGGCUCACUGGACUGUAACUGACACUGAGGCACGAAAGCGUGGGGAGCAAACAGGAGUAGAUACCCUUGUAGUC